GUCUCAGUAGCGCAAAGGAUGGCGCGUUGGUCUUCUAAUCCAAAUACCGUGGGUUCAAAUCCUACCUGGGAAG
Trichonephila inaurata madagascariensis is the source of this 73-nucleotide non-coding RNA. The record is from the annotation of a GenBank genome assembly. Lineage: Eukaryota; Metazoa; Arthropoda; Arachnida; Araneae; Nephilidae.